Tyto alba (common barn owl) is the source of this 8528-nucleotide long non-coding RNA. RefSeq lists it as uncharacterized. The record is from RefSeq and is a predicted model, not a curated record. The transcript is spliced from 2 exons. NCBI's taxonomy places the organism in Eukaryota, Metazoa, Chordata, Aves, Strigiformes, Tytonidae.
CCCGGCGGCCGGGGCGGGAGCGCGGCGAGCCGCCGGCGCCCUCGGGUGCCGAUGCGGGACGGCCGAAGCGGAGGGGGAAAGGCGGGAAGGGCGCCGCCGGCUCGCGUCGUCAUACUCAGCGCCGUGGGGUUUCGCGGGGUCGCGCGGGCCCUUUAAACGCCGCGCGCUCCGCUCUGGGCACAGCCCAGUCCCUCCCGAGUACAGCCUUAGCCCUCCCGACGGGGCUGAAAAGAGAGGGGAAAGGCGAAAAAUGACUCGGCCAUCUCAUCUACAUCUCUCUUCGUGAUUUUAAAGACAGUUUUUGGUGUCCUGGCUGGUUUUGGGAUGCACCCGCUUCAUUGCAAGUCCUGAAGGUGCCCGGGAGCGCAGCCCUGCUUCUCCCCGUGUCGCUGCAAGGCACAACCGCCGCUGGAGUCUGCUGUAAGGAUGCCGUGCGCUGGGAUGGAACAGGCUCCUGCUAAGUGAUCCAGUGCUCCCCAAAAUGGCAAACGAGGGGGAAUCCUACCGUGGUGUUUUAAAGCAAGCCUAAGCGCACGUUGCGUGGCGUCUGCUGAACCGCCGUGUGCUUGCAAGCAUUGAGCCCGGUGCUGCUCCGUCUGCACGGCCAAGAGGCGAGACCGCUGGGCUCUCCCGGUUGGCACCCCUUGGUGGGCUGUCACAGGCCAUUUUGCAAACCAGGACCAACUCUCUGCAGCCUCUUACGGCUUCGUUUUGGCCAGUCCCUGAAACUAAACGAGGAAGAGGGAGGAAAAGUACUAUUCCCUCUCAGCCUAGCAACCAGUGACCCUUUUUAAAUAGGGGUUCAACGCAAUAAUCAAGGAUUCAUUUUUACCUGUCAUGGCUGAACUGCUGGAGUAGAGCCAUGGCAUCUCUACUGCUUUUACAAUGCCACUCUCUCCCCUAUUAUUCUCUCUGCUUCCUCACUAUGACAUUUUCCCUUUCUACCUGCAUGCUUACCACUGGCUUUCCCCAAGUGCUGAGUCAUUAUUCUGUAUCUCAUGGCAGGUUAGGGGGUUUUGUGAUUCCUUAUAUUAAAUGUAGAAAUUAGAGAUGGAAAAGACCUGUUAGGUCAUCUACUCUGCUCCCCUGCUGGUAGAGGAUUUGCAGCACGCGCUUGAUUGCUCUGUCCGCUUUUGUUUUAAAUGCCUCGGGUAAUGGGGUUUCCACCUCUUUCUUUUGGAGACUAUUUCAUGGUCCAGCAAGUCCCAUGGUCAGGAAGAUAUUUGGCCUACAUUUUCAUUUGUUGAGUUUCACCCAAUUACUCCUGUGUAUUGUGCUCCCUUAAACAAUUUUUAUCCUCUCUGUCUGUUUUGUGCCUUGCACCCAGGUAUCACUCCUUUUCCUGACCACUGCCAUUAGUUCUUUUUUAUCUCCUUUCAUUAACCGGUCCCUGCAGCCACUUUAUCACUGUCAUUGGUCUUCUCUGCUUCCCAUCCAAUUGGUAUCACCUUUUCAGCCCACGGAAUCCCACAUUUAGGGACAAGUAUCUGCCGUUGUGAAUGCAGCCAAAACCCAUCACGGUUUACUUGGUCUCCAAGUCGCCUCAGAAGCUUGCACAAAAUUUGUCACCUGCCAUCGCCCCAAAUCAGAUCUAGUCCUGUUACUCAGUAUUCCCUCUUGCAGUGCAACUGCAAUCUGUUUUUCUCCAUGGAGCUUGUGGCGAAGCUAUGUGUCUCGAGCCUCAUUUUUCUGCCUGGAGUUUCAACAUCUGUUCCUUCUGGGGUCACUGAUACCUGUUGUUCCUCCCACUUUGAUUAAUGGCCCUUACAAACACAGGCUUUGAUCCAUCUUGGCAGACCUCUCAACCAGUAUGAGUGGUUACAUGUAUCUGUCCAAGAUCACAACCUGCUUUAGAGCUGUUGUCUUCCAGCUCCUUCUGUUCUUUUUCUUUCCACCACUCCACUAAAUGUGAGUGCAAUGCAUGGUAACUAGAAAAGGAAGGGAAAGAAAGGAUGGCUGAGUAGAGAAAGCCACAGGCAUGAGUGCAGCACCUUUCCAGCCAGAAGCCAAUCGCACUGAAGCUGCUGUAAGAAAGCUGGCAAAGGAAACGUGGCUGGACAGAACAGAUAUCACACUGCCCUGUGGUCUGCCCUUCCCAAAAGAAGCAGGUAUGCCUCGGCCAUGCUAGCUAGAUGCUAGCCACAGUGACUGAAGAACAUCCUUGAACCCUUUGAACAAGGAGGGACAAACUCCUCGUAAUGUGUUAGCUUCUCUGCUUGGUUCUGCCCUUGUUUCUCUGACCUGAUUUCUCGCGGUUCCUCUCAUUACUUCCAUCUCUUGAGACCUCAGACUAUAUGGUCCUGACUGCUGCUCUGUGCAGGAGAUGAAAAACGCUACCAGAUCUGGUGGGCAGGAUGGCUUGUGGUUGCGGGACAGUUGCUCUGGAAAUGUGAAGAGAAAGCUUCCCCAGCUGUCAGCUCCCCUUUAGAUCCGCGCCACGUGGAGAUUGCACAGAGCGGAAAGGAAGUCCAUUAGCUCGUAUUAAACCUUGAACAGGCUCCCAGUUAGUUUCCUUCCCUCUCACCGAGAGGCCACUGCUUAGCUUAUCUCCAGGGAGGACCCAUUAGUUAAAAGCAGGAUUUCCAAUCCCGCAGAGCCACCUUUCAUCAACACCCUAGCUAGAAGUCCCCUAACUUUUUGCUCGGAUAGAUGGUGGCAACAGUAAUUCAGGCAAAAGGUAACCAUACUCUGGCCUCUGAAGUGAGGCCAAGUUCCUGCCUUGGGCUCUCCCAGGAAAGGGAGGUGGGUGGCAUGUUGGGGGGCGGCAGGGGAUAAGAAAACCCAUAGAUAGGAGUAUGUUCUUUCUCCUCGUAAUGGCCUGAAAAUCUGGCUUUGGAUGCUUGUAUUUUCUGGUCUGGAGUUUGUCCCUCAAAACAGAGCAAGCCCUGAAGAAGAAGAGGCAAACCAGCCUUUCACUGGGACUCAACAUUUUCUGCCCACAGCAGUGCAUCUGCAUACCAUCUCCCACUGAUUCUUUGUCACCUGGGCCUCCUUCACAGCCAUGAGACUCCCAGUGUCUUCCUACCUGCACUUUCUCAACAGCUAGGCUAGUUUUUUUCAUAUGUCCCUAAAGGAUGUUGGAGCCUUUUUCCCAAAGGAAUUAAACACUUGGGAACCUAAAUCCAGCCAAAAGCCAAGGGUUUAAUUUCUUCUUUUGUACACUGAAUUUCUAGUUCCAGCAGUGUACCUCAGAUAUUUGCAAUAAUUGUUGACUUCACCUCGCUUUUAUUAAGGAGACUCUAUUCGUGGUAGUAUUUUUUUCUUUCCUGGUAUUUGCAAAGGCACUCAUUAGUUCCCAGUGCCCAGUUAUCAUUAACUCAUUCUAUUGUUUCUCCGCUGUUAUCUUUUCCUUCCCUUUAUCUUUUCCCAGCACAACUUAACUGACUCACUUAUUUAAUGACCACUUAUUUGCUUCAUUUGUAUUACUAGUUUUAUUCUUGUCUUCCAAUGUUUGAACAGGUACAGAUAGUCACUUGAUGGGUCUGCUGACAUUACUGAGCCUUGACCAAGAUGACUCUUCCAGAUUGAGGGACAGAAUCAAGCUCUUAAGGAACAAAACACAGUAGGAGACCAUAGUAAUUUCCAAGAAUGUGCAAAGGAUAUGUUGAUGUUAGCAUGCAACAGAGUUUUUGGUCCUGCGGACACACCAGUAAAUCCAUGAGUGUUAGUGCACAGAGAUGCUGUGGAAGUGAUCCUCGCUGCAUUGCACGUUUAGUACUACCAUUCUUUUUCCCUUACCAAAUUGGUUUCUGAAACCAAAUUGGAUUUUAUGGCCCUAUUGUGCAUCACUCAUGCUGCUUCUCAUCAUUAUCAGUGAGAUUAGCUUUCACUUCCUAUUCUCAGGUGAGUCCUUCUUUCCAAGAUUCAGCCAGGUCAAUGUUUCUUGUGGUAGAAUUCCUGAAUCCUUGGCUUUUUAAGAAUAUAUGUGAAAUUCAGUCUCAGGUGUUAGAGUGAGAAAUGCUAUAUCCAUAUUAUUUGCAUUCUUGUUUGUUUACCUAAGAGCCAAAUCUUCUUUGAGAUUUCGUGGUCCUCUGAAUGCUCAGGGCUGGCUCUAUGAAUAGGAUUUACACCAGUAUAAUGAUUUUGGUAAAAGGUUUGUUUGUGGGGUUUUUUUGAAUCAUAAUAGCAAUACGAGUGCAUUCCCUAAAGCUGCAGGCAUUUUGAUAUAAAUACACUUACGCAAUUUACAUAGGCACUUGCAUAGCUUUCCCAUUUCAGAAACCCACAACAGUCAAAAUGGAAAUGCAAAAAUUCCGGUAUGUCACCUAUUCAUCCAGCGGCAAAUAUAUGCAAAAAAGUAACCCUGAACAUAAUUGAUGCUCUAAACUAUGUCAUCGUCACACAUCGUCAUAUACUGGAUUAUUUUCAAUCAUCUAGUGUGUUGCUUCUGUAAAUAAGAGAAAUGUUUUUCUACUGCUGUGUGACUAUUCUGUUAGGAGAAAGGGGAAGAGAGAUUGAGGAUUGUACUGAUUUAACUCCUUUUCAUUGUUCAAAGCAGUGCAGCAUCUUCUGAGAGACAAGUCUAUAGUCACAUCUGAAAAGCAGACUUCAUUGCACAAGGCACUGCUCGGGCACAUGCUGACAGUGCUACUCCUGGUACCUACUUCCAUGUCGCAGCACAUAAAGGUGAGGCAGUGAGUGGCCCUGACAGUGGCCCUGAGAGCACUAACUCCAGUGACACCAACCUGGCAACAGCCAAACCCGACUACCACGUUGGACUAAACUGCAUGGGACCGCGGUCCCCUCUCCUACCACUGCGGAGCAACAUCGUGGCACCACAAGGCUGGUACAGCCGAGUCCUUGUCGACCUCUUCUAGUGUCCGGGUUACAGCAUGGUGCCACAAAGCAGAGUUUCCUGGACUAGCACCCUGUAAAAGUGCCCCAUCCCACACUGCCGUGCUGUGCAAGUCACAGCACACCCUCCUUAGCCGUGCCAGCAGCUGCUUUAAGCGCUGUGAAAAGGCACAAGGAAUAUAUCGUGUGUGUGUGUGCAUCCCUGUGUUUAAAGCCAGCUAAGUUCCCCUCGCUGUGGUGCAAGUAGAUGGAGAUACCUUAAACUGGAAUCUUGCAGUCCCUCAAAGCCGCAGCUUAUGCCAGUAGCCCUCUUGCUCACUACCAAAGAGACCAAAAAGUCUUGGCCAGGCACUGCUUGUUGCCCCGACCCUACAAAAUCACCCCAACAGAACGUGUGGAAGGGUUGCCAGGCAUGCAAGGACCAAGGAGUAAAAGCAGGGGACCUCUGCCUGCGGCUGGAGAUGGGCAAGGCCGUAUCGGAGGCUCUUCAGACUGGGGAGAGCAGCUCUGAGCCUGGGAGAGCUGAGAGGAAUGGAGGGAAGUCUGCUGGGGGAAGAUCAGUAGCAGGGAGCUGGAGAGCAGGUGGGGUUAAGAGGUUGGCCUGCACCGGGCGAAACUUCCCCGCUCGACCUACUUUCGCAGGGGUGGUUGUUUAAAUGGAAUUUAAAUCUCUCUAGAUAUGUGAGGAACUUGCCAGCAUCACCUGAAGACGUGCAGUGACAGGGGCAGGGCUACACCGGUCAAGCACGUGCGCGGCCAGAGCUGGGACUGAGGUCCUUGAUGCCACAGAGAGAUUUCCAUGGGCAAAGGCUCAUUUCUUGAGCAGACAGGGCUCUGCAGGGUGCACAAAACCACCAGUAAAUGAGGGAAAGCAAAAAACGUUACCAAAACCAGGAUUUUUGGAAGACAAUUCUGCAAAAUACGAGAUCCCCAGCUACCAGUUUCAGGUGUAAGCUAUACCUUCAUGUUUUGUUCUUGCAUAAUCCAGAACAAUGAAGUGUGUGUCAAUACUGACAACCUCAUGAAUUCAAAAUAAUGAGUUAGUUGCCUCUUACCUCAAAAUCACAAGAUUUUUGAGGGGAAAAAAAAUACUUUGGAAAAUUCUUUAAAUUUUACAUGUCUGCAUUUCUUUAUCUUGCCUCUGGAUUUUGUCCUGUAAAGUACAUAUUUGCAAACUUCUCCCCCAAAUUUUGAAUGCUAGCAAAUUUCUUCUCUUUCCUUCCUUAUUUUCUUUGUUAUUUUUCUGUCUGUCUCCCUCCCUCUGUCCCUCCUUUCUCACCUUCCCACCUGCCUUCUUAUGUUGUAUGUAAUUAAAUGAUUCAGACCAGGAAAAUUAAAGAAUUAUAAGAUAUAUGAUGAAACUCAAGGUAAAAGUAGAAAAAGCAUCAAGCUAUAUUCUGUUACUGCAAAACAUUUUAAACAAAAAUAAACAAAAAAUAGAAGCUGAAGGGACAAAGUUCAAAUUAUGUGUCAAAUAAGGCCAAAAUUAUUUACAUUUUGCAUGUACUAUGGCUGGAUUUUACUUCUCCAGUUUACUCAUCUCAGCUGCAGAGGUGAAGAAAACUUUCCUCAAAACUCAAUCCUCUCUAUCAGUAAUAUUUUCACAGGCUCAACACCCCCUCCCUCCUUUUUCAGCAUCAUUUUCUCCAUGGGGAGACAGGAUUACAGCUGUCAUGCCUGUUCGGAGUUGUGGUGCACACUCUGUCAUCCAUGUCAUUGUAACUCUAUAUCUUGCUGGCAGUAAAAGAGUGACACAAAUUGUUUUCCUGCCAUAUAAACAUUGUCUAGUAGAUUUAAUGCUCAUAAUCUAAUGUGAGGAAUAACAUUAUAUGAACAACAGUAGUCAAUCUGCUUACAAUGAUUGCCCGGUACUGCUGGGGAAAAAAAAAAAAAAAAAAAAAAGAGUACUACUGCUUCUCCAAGCCUGCGGAGGCUCAGCACCUUUCUGUCCAGUCCUGCACCCUCUGGGGCAGGGGCUUACAGCAGCGUGACCACACAGCUGCAAAGCCAGUGGGCUGAAAUGGAAACCCAAGCUAGGAAAAGGAAAAGGAAGAGGAAGAGGAAGAGGAAGAGGAAAAGGAAAUGGAAAAGGAAAAGGAAACUCAACUCAAGGCUUAGUGAGAGUAGUGCGUGCUCAGCAAAUGGCAGAAUGAAACCCUAGCAAAUGAAAAAAAGCAGCGUGAGUACAGCUUGUUGCACAGAAUCGUGAUUUAUCUGCUUUUAUUUUCAAUAGUUCCAGUGGCAUCAUGAUGUAGGAUUUUAUAGCCUAUUAAAUCAUGCCUGACAUUUAUGGAUAUAGUUUAGAGCGCAUGCAUUAUGGAUAGGCAGUAGCCUCUCCAUGGCUGAGCAGCAGUUUCCACUCGCAAGUCUCACUCCAUCCUCACGCCCUUUCAUAACUUUCACUCAGAAACUGACAAAUACACUCCAAAGACAAAGAUUUUGGCCAAGAAUACAAAAAAAUAAAACAACUGAUGAGUUACAGGUUGUUUAGAUUUUCCUGAUCUAAAAUGGCCUUUAUUUCUCUUGUUGUCUUCUGUUUCCAAAAGCAGGUCCACAUCCAGAAGGGUCCCCUGCAGCUUCUUCAGGCGUUGCAUAUUCUGCAAUCUCCAUCAGCGCAAACAGAUCGCCCUCUCACAGGAAAGAGGUGGUAAUCAGCCCAAGUCGGAGACAAUUUUUUUGGCACAUGUAGGGAGUGGCGUAAUUAAGACCGGAAAUUUGAGCUGACCCCAAUAUUAGCUUGGGAAGUGACUGAGAAGAGGCGCAGAGGAGGGUGGACCUGGGUGCCAAGACCUGGCCUUAUCAGGCCCAACUCUGUACAGGUCUCUGGUUGCUAUGGAGGGUCCCCAGCCCUGUCCUCUUGAUUUCAGGCUUGAGCACUGUUCUUGGCAACAUCAGUCCCAGUGGGUUUUGUGUCCUUUUUGUGUGCAACGAGCAGGGGCAGUAUCCGAGGAUGCUUCUGCUCCUACUUCAUGUUGGGCAUGGGUGGUGCUGGAGGAUCAGACCGUGAAGCCCCCACAUGCGUGCAUGGGAGGACAGAGGCGUCAGGCUCCGGACAUGUUGCUCGCUGCCUUGCGCUCUCCUCACUGUUCAUCACCUGGAGAGUGGUGGGAUGGCAGCAUCGCCACUGCUGCCUGCCUGGCACGAGGUCUGCUGCCCCUUCCCACCCUCACGGACGGACAGCAUCUCACUAGACAGACCCAUCUUUGCAGCCAUUGCCUGAGGAAAGCGGAGUCUUGGGUUUAACUGGUUGAGACAGCCUGUGAGGGCAGUCGGGAAGGAGGAGGAGGGCGAGCGGCUUGGACAAGUCCUGUCAGCCAGAGCAGAGGGAGAGGGAAGAGCAAGGCAAUGGAUGAGGAUGGCAAAGGCAGUCAAGAAGGGAGGAGGACAUGGAUCUUGGUUCAGGAGAGGCCUCACCAGAAAUUUCGAGGGAAGAGUGUGAUCAGAGGAGCAGCUGGAUAGGUGACCUUGACCAGAGGGGAAUUCAGCCUCUCUGCCUGUUUUCCAGGGGGAAUGGCCCGCAGCCAGGGAGACUCCCCUGUGUCACAGGUCUAUGGCACAGGGACCUUUGUGACCAGGAGGGAAGGCUUUGGCUGCCUGGGGAAGACACUAGUUUUAUAUGCCAGGGCCUGAACUGAGCGCAGAUUGCAGUGGUCACAGCUACCACUGUGAGAGAUAAAGACACAUUUCACUCUUAGAUAGCAUCUUACAAGCGGUAAUUAAAUUUUUACAACACC